AUGGAGCAGCUGCAGCACCAGCAGGAGCGGGCGAGGGAGGUGUACAGGGAGUGCCUGCGCAACCACGCGGCGAAGCUGGGCACCUACGCCUCCGAUGGCUGCUGCGAGUACACCCCCGACGACAGCCAGCCCGCCGCGCUCCUCUGCGCCGCCUGCGGCUGCCACCGCAACUUCCACCGCAAGGCAUUCCUCGACGGCGCGGCCUCUCCCGGCGCCGCCAGCCAGCACGCGCCGCUAAUGCUGCCCUCUCCCGGCGCCCCGCCGGGCUACAUGCACCACCACCUGGCAAUGGCCGGCCCCUCCGGGGUCGCCAUGGGCGGCGGCGACGGCGGCGGCGACGGCGGCGGGUCGCACAGCGGCGGGGGCAGCAGGCGGCGGACGCGGACCAAGUUCACGGACGAGCAGAAGGCGCGGAUGCUGCGCUUCGCCGAGCGGCUGGGGUGGCGGAUGCCCAAGCGCGAGCCCGGCCGCGCGCCCGGGGACGACGAGGUCGCGCGCUUCUGCCGGGAGAUCGGGGUCACCAGGCAGGUCUUCAAGGUCUGGAUGCACAACCACAAGGCCGGUGUCGGCGGCAGCGGGGGCGCCGGCGCCCAGACGUCGUCAUCGACCACGCGCGGCGGCGGAGGUGGAGGCGCGGGGGGCAUGUCGCCGGCGAUGGGUGGCGACGGUGAGGACGACGAGGAGGUGAGGGGCAGCGAGAUGUGCAUGUAG
RNAcentral lists this ribosomal RNA (711 nucleotides) under Triticum aestivum (bread wheat). Its description in RNAcentral is "partial small subunit ribosomal RNA". The record is from RNAcentral. Lineage: Eukaryota; Viridiplantae; Streptophyta; Magnoliopsida; Poales; Poaceae.